AACGGCUCACUGCAACCUCCGCCUUCUGGGUUCAAGUGAUUCUCCUGCCUCAGCCUCCCGAGUAGGUGGGAUUGUAGGCAUUUGUCACCGCGCGGGCUGUGUUAGGAAUUUUCUUGUUUUACAUAGUUAAAUGAAGGAGAUAAGAGUACUUUAUUAAUAGUUCUCAGUAAACAGUAUACACUACUUAAUCUGUUACUCAGAUUCUAGUGUGUUGUGAUUUUGUUUUUGUUUUUCAAUAGGCAGGGAAACAUGAAGCCAUUGUGAAGAACGUACAUGAUCUCCUGGCAAAAUUGGCAUGGGAUUUUUCUCCUGAACAACUUGAUCAUCUUUUUGAUUGUUUUAAGGCCAGUUGGACAAAUGCGAGUAAAAAGCAACGUGAAAAGCUACUUGAGCUGAUACGUCGUCUUGCAGAAGAUGAUAAAGAUGGUGUGAUGGCACACAAAGUGUUGAACCUUCUGUGGAAUCUGGCUCACAGUGAUGAUGUGCCUGUAGAUAUCAUGGACCUGGCUCUCAGUGCCCACAUAAAAAUACUAGAUUACAGUUGCUCCCAGGUACGAGUGUACAGCUUUACUCACUUUUGUCACCUUUCCCCUUCCCCCUUCAGUUAGGAUGGCUUAGUUA
Molecule: long non-coding RNA, 621 nt
Organism: Rhinopithecus bieti (black snub-nosed monkey)
Lineage: Eukaryota; Metazoa; Chordata; Mammalia; Primates; Cercopithecidae
Source: Ensembl